This 1910-nucleotide long non-coding RNA is filed under the name Homo sapiens (human). Its description in RNAcentral is "PREDICTED lncRNA (TCONS_00151164)". Lineage: Eukaryota; Metazoa; Chordata; Mammalia; Primates; Hominidae. The record is from RNAcentral.
CAGAUGCAGAGCAAAAGUUGCUCUCAGGCCAGAAGAGACCAUUUAAAAGCUCUCCGCCGGUUUCAGAACACAAAUAAAUUUCCCAAUCCUCUGCAAAGACAGAACUGAAGAAUUACUGGACAGCACGCCAGAGGCAGGGACCUGAGGGCAGGCCAUCUUGCUAUGCCGGGAGGAGACGGUCACUGUUGCUAAGGGUCAUCCAUCCUUAGUCUCGAAGAAAUCUCUUCCUGAUCUCUUCACCAACUCUCCCCACUACUAGAGAAUUGAGCUACUCCCAAAGAUGAGGCCUUGAUGUGCAGACGCGAUGGGGCAACGAUGAGACCGAAUAAACAAUUGACAUCUAACCCCAGAAGAAGAGCAAGGACCUGGGACCCAGAAGGAAGAGGCUGUGAGAGGUACAAACUGCAGGCAUGGACAUGAUGCAUAUAGAGGACAGCCACACUAAGCUUUGAGGCUUCUGGAGGCAACACAGAGUAACCAUUUGAAUGGAAAUCACUGAACAGACACAGAGAAAGAGAAACCAUCCAAUGACUUGAGGGUGACACCAAGUUUGCCUGGUGGCCUCAGGACUCCUGGCUCACUGGUCCCACUGUCUCCCCCCGCCCAUCAGAAUACAUGAAGGCUGGUGGGGCACGGUGGCCCAUGUCUGUAAUCCCAACACUUUGGGAGGCCAAGGCGGGCAGAUCACCUGAGUUCGAGACCAGCCUGGCCAACAUGGUGAAACCUCGGCUCUACUAAAAAUACAAAAUUAGCUGAGUGUGGUGGCACAUGCCUGUAAUCCCAGCUACUCGGGAGGCUGAGGCAGGAGAAUCACUUGAACCCAGGAGGCUGAGGUUGCAGUGAGCUGGGAUCAUGCCACUGCACUCCAGCCUGGCGACAGAGUGAGACUCCAUCUCCAAAAAAAAAAAAAAAAAAAAUACGUGAAGGCUUUCCUACCACACCAUGCAUGUGGGACACGUCAGAGUGGGAAGCUCCAUGGAUCUACAGCAAGGCUGUUCGACUAAGAGUGAAUAAAUGGGUGAAUUCCAUGGGCUGAACAUGUCAGGAAUAUUUUCUUCUUAGGGCAGCGAUCUUAACUUCUGGAGAAAUUGAGUUCCUAAGCUGUAGAGCCUUAGAACCCUGGCAUACAUUUCUGUGGAGAAACAGAAAGCCCAGACAUCCCAGUCCACACACGUCUUUCUUCUGACCAACACCAGCCAUAGGAAGCAAGGCCCGGGAGAGCACUGGGGACAGGGCAUGUCCGCCCGGAGCAGGGCAGGAGAGCACAGGCAUGUGAUGCAGCCCUGGGUCUGUCGUCCCGUUUGCGCCGGGAAUGAAUCGGGUUUUUCUAGCCUCUAAGCACAGAGGUAUUUUUGACUCAGCACCGUGAAGAGACGACAAUAGCUCAGCUUCUGCCAGCUGCCCGAUUUAGACACGAGACCUUCACUACAUAUUUCUGUCUCUUGCCCUACUCAGAAGAAGGACUUAAAAAUCCCCCAAGACGGAACUGAGUUUUCCUCUGUUCAUUUUUUUAAAUUACACUACUUGAAGAACCCCAAACAAAUAAGGCUCUGGGCCUCCAAGACCAUGUAAUCCAUUGUGCUCGUGUGGAAGAGCUGCCCCCAGUAGAGGCAACAGGAAUGGCCUGGUCACUCAGCAGGUCCCCUGCCCAUCUUCCCACCACCCCUUGCCCCACCCACCGGGAAGGAGGAGGGAGCACAGGCUGCUUUGAGCAGUCAUCGUGCCUCUACCUGGAGCCUGUACUCACUGUCUUGGGGGCCGGUAUUUCCCAGGAGGGCUAUUGUGUGUUUCCUUGUCUGUUUCUCUUUCUGGAAUGCGAGCUGUUUCAAAAUGAACUGAAGAUCAUUCACCUCCACCCCUCAGCUCUCAGCAUAGAGGUGUGCACAGAGUACAUGCUCAGUAAAUGUUUA